RNAcentral lists this unclassified non-coding RNA (294 nucleotides) under Hevea brasiliensis (rubber tree). Lineage: Eukaryota; Viridiplantae; Streptophyta; Magnoliopsida; Malpighiales; Euphorbiaceae. The record is from RNAcentral.
CUAUCGUGAAUUUCUCUAUUAUCAGGUGGUUUAUGCAUUGGGAGUUAGGGUUUUAGGCUUUACUUUCUUGGAUUGAAUUUUUCAAGUGGGAUAUAUCAGAGGAAGAAGAUGUUCUCUGUUCUUGUUUAACUUUAACAAUCGAGUUUAAAAUUAGUGUUUCUUUCCUUUCAAUUUCAAUCUUAGCUUUCUUCUUCACCGCCUUCCCGGCCCUCCUCCUAUCCAUACAAUUGUUUCCUUGUCGCUCUUAAUCCUCUCUUUAAUCCACUGCUGUUGCAAUUGGAGCAAUCAAAUCAU